This 246-nucleotide long non-coding RNA is filed under the name Lathyrus oleraceus (garden pea). Its description in RNAcentral is "Pisum sativum (pea) long non-coding RNA (PSAT_LNC031810)". Lineage: Eukaryota; Viridiplantae; Streptophyta; Magnoliopsida; Fabales; Fabaceae. The record is from RNAcentral.
UGGCUUUGUGGGCUCAAAUGAGAGAGGUCCAAGUCCAAGAUUUUUCUAUUAUAUUUUAUUUAUUUACUUAUUUAUUUAUUUUCUUUUCGUUUUUUUUUUUGCAAAACGCGUGGGCUUCGCCUAGCGAGCAUGACAGUUCAAGAAAUUCCUCUGAGCGUAGGUGAUUAUGGUGGCUUUUCUUGGGACUCGUUAGGCGACCCAUUCUGCUCGCCUAGCGAGCAUGGCAACUCAUGAACAAACUUUUGC